Molecule: ribosomal RNA, 396 nt
Filed under: uncultured bacterium
Lineage: Bacteria
Description: partial 16S ribosomal RNA
Rfam family: Bacterial small subunit ribosomal RNA
Source: RNAcentral
AUACGUGGGUGGCGAGCGUUGUCCGGAAUUACUGGGUGUAAAGGGAGCGCAGGCGGGAAUGCAAGUUGGAUGUGAAAUACCGAGGCUUAACCUCGGGGCUGCAUCCAAAACUGUAUUUCUUGAGUGAAGUAGAGGUAGGCGGAAUUCCGAGUGUAGCGGUGGAAUGCGUAGAUAUUCGGAGGAACACCAGUGGCGAAGGCGGCCUACUGGGCUUUAACUGACGCUGAGGCUCGAAAGUGUGGGGAGCAAACAGGAUUAGAUACCCUGGUAGUCCACACUGUAAACGAUGAUUACUAGGUGUGGGGGGUCUGACCCCUUCUGUGCCGUAGUUAACGCAAUAAGUAAUCCACCUGGGGAGUACGAUCGCAAGGUUGAAACUCAAAGGAAUUGACGGGG